This 449-nucleotide long non-coding RNA is filed under the name Mytilus galloprovincialis (Mediterranean mussel). The record is from RNAcentral. Lineage: Eukaryota; Metazoa; Mollusca; Bivalvia; Mytilida; Mytilidae.
UUCCUGUGCAAAAUUUACAAAAUCUCUCAUUAGAUGGUAUUUUUGGUCUUGCAUACCUCCCAGUUUCUAUCGCUAAUGAGUGUGCAUUAUUCUUAAUUUAGUGAGUUUUUUUCAAUUUAUAUAUAUACCCUUUCCUCCAUUGAAUUUUUUUUUUUUGCAUACUUGAUUCGCAUAGGAUUUUUUUGAUAAAAUGCUGAACAUAUGCUUUAAAGUAUUAAGGCAUUGCGAAAAACAACUAUUUCAUCAAAUAAAUUUGAGUCGGAUAUAUAUAUAUUCCUAUGAUAUUCCUUUUCAUAAUGGAUACCAAUUUUAUUAAGUCAACUGCAGACACUUUGUAUUCAAAGUGUUUCAACUGAGGUACUACAAAGGCGUCAAAAGGCGUCAUUAUUGAGUAAGGGGGUGGCGUCAAAAGGCGUCAUUAUGGAGGAAAGGGUUAAAGGUACAAAAUG